Prosopis cineraria is the source of this 3045-nucleotide RNA transcript. It is a transcript of the gene named myosin-binding protein 7-like, with no coding region annotated. Lineage: Eukaryota; Viridiplantae; Streptophyta; Magnoliopsida; Fabales; Fabaceae. The transcript has 6 exons. The record is from RefSeq and is a predicted model, not a curated record.
UCUCUCUCUCUGGGUCUCUGGGGACAGCAUUGACAUUUGAGAGAAGCACUACUACGAUUUUCAAGAAAUCUUAGCCCUGACGAAUAGAUACAAACAAAAACAAACCCCGCAGCAUCUAUACGUAAAACAAACAAAAUCACAUUCUAGGGUUUCCAAAUCAUCUCUCCCUUUUAUUUUUUCCCUGUUCUAUUUUCCCUCCCUCCAAACACCGUUCCCGCUUGUGCAUACUUCUCUCACAAGAAAGCGGGGACGAAUGUUUUGGUCUUUUUCUCCCUCUCCCCCUCUCUUGAUUAGUUGUUUUGUGGCCUCUUCUUAAUUUUGCUUCGGACCUCUAAUUGAGGGUGAAAUUUCCAGGAAAUUGAGCUUCAAUUUCUGCUGCGUACGACCUCAGCCGGCGGCUCUUGAUUCCUCACAGCUAAUUCUUUAAGGUUUUCCUGAGAUUGUUUGGUCUGUGAGGGACAACAACGAAGGAUCUUGGGAUAGCGUGAGUGUAAGAGAAUGCCUGAUGUUGACGCGAAGGGAAGAUGCUAUAGCUCGCUUGAAAUAUAUUAUUCUCAGAUUAUUGAUUUGUCAGACCUUUGGUGAUUUUCAAUUCGUUGAAGUUCGAAUGUGAUUUGGUUUAUGGAUUCGGGAGCAAUUCCAUCUUCCACAAAUUCAGUAAAAUGUUGCGACUGCGCCUGCAGUUGUUCAUUGGCAGCUGAUUCUUCGGCAACCUGGCUUCGUACAGUCAAAAGGAAGCUUGGUGAGUUUGAACGGGACGACAAAUUCUCUGUACCCGAGUUGGAUUCAUUUUCAGUUGCACGGGUCCAAAUAGAAAAUGAAUGUGAAGCCUUACGGGAGACAGUUGCUAGGCAACUACAAGCAAUACAAGAUCUACACGCUGAAUUGGAAGAGGAGAGAAAUGCUUCAUCAACGGCAGCAAAUGAGGCCAUGUCUAUGAUAUUGAGGUUGCAGAGGGAGAAAGCAGAGAUUCAAAUGGAAGCCCGGCAGUUCAAGCGAUUUGCAGAGGAGAAGACAUCACAUGACCAGGAGGAGCUUUUAGCACUGGAGGACUUGUUGUAUAAGAGGGAGCUGACAAUACAGGCGCUCACAUGUGAAAUUCAGGCUUAUAAGCACAGGAUGAUGAGUUAUGGUCUCACAGAAUCAGAGGCUGCAGGUGAAAUGAGCCUGAACAUGGGGGAAUUGAGUGAUCAAUAUGAAUUGCCCUCCUAUGACUACCCUCCUUUAAAAUGCAGUGGACAUACUGCCAUGGAUGCUGACAAUGAUGAGACAGAUAUUGAGAAAUAUGCAUUUGUUGAAACUCCUUCUGAUAGGUUGAGAAACUUGGAAAAUAGAAUCUCCCAAAUGGAGAGAAAUUCUAUUCAUCAGCAGGUGGAUGAGGAUAAUAAGACAGGGAAAACAAUUCUAGAGAAGGAGGUAGUUGGACAGUCUCCAAGGCGGAUUAGACAUUCAAGAAAGAUAUCCAAUGACUCAAGUUCAUUUACGGUGGAUUCUCCCAAGAGCUUUAGGAAGAUGGAAUAUGUCUCACAACCAGAUGAUCGUUCCCAUUUGAGAAGGGUAGAUUAUGCAUCAGAAGCUGGUGAUGAUAUGGGUGACAGAGUUUACACUAUUGACUCUGUUCAUACAGUGACACCAGACAAAGGUAUUUCAGAGUCCAAAAGUGGAGUUGUUCAUGAAGAUUAUUCGACUGCUCCAAUGGAGACACUAAAUCGUGCUGAAUUUGAAGAUCCUGACAUAAAGAAGCUUUACGUGAGACUUCAAGCUCUUGAGGCUGAUAGGGAAUCAAUGAGGCAGGCUAUCAUUUCAAUGCGCACUGAUAAAGCACAGGUUCUUCUGCUUAAGGAAAUAGCUCAACAUUUGUGCAAAGAGAUGUCACCGCAAAGGAGAAUGACAAUGAGGAAGCCGUCUGUUAUUAGCAGUUUUUCAUUCUUGUCAAUUUUUAAGUGGAUGAUAUCGUUGGUUUUGUGGAGGAAAAAAGCUGGUCAAAGCAAGAAUGAAUUGCAACCAUUUUAGCACAAGAAUUUAUUUUAAAGAGAGAACAAUUGCAGAAUUCACGCAGCUAAUGCUUAUGAAACAUACAAAUUCAAUGUAUAUGUUUGGGCUACCAGCCAGUGGUGUGGGCUUGCUAAUGCUUUUGGACAAGAGGCCACGUGGAAGGCCUCGGAGAUGCGUCUCAAUCACCCAGGUGGGAGAUUAAUUCUUGAAUUUCUUUACUGGCUUACAGAGGGUAAGCUCAGAUGUGGGAAUACCAGUCGCGGAUUGAAUUUUAAUCACACUACUACCACUUUGAGAUUUCUCUCUCUCUUUCUUGCUGCCUGGAUCAUUGUGACACACAGAAAAUGGUGUUCUAUGCAGUUUUCUAUUAUUCCUCUGGCAUAAAAUUGAAUAUAAUUUGUUGGGUGACUGGUGAAACUUGCGGUUUGAGCAUACAUGCUCAUAUGGUUAGUUUGAGUUGAGAUUGUAGCAUACGUCUUUUGACAGUUCUCCUGUACAUCACUAUGUUUCGAGUUUCAUCUUUAUUGGACUAUGUAGUUCCACUUCAUUUCUCCAUCUCACCACUUACCACUAGUUUGAUUGUGGGUUCUUGCCCAUGUCGUCUCUUUCUGUAUUGAUAAUGUAAGCUUGUAUAAUAUUCAUAUUGUAUAUUUGAUCAAGUAUCAGUGACAAUUUGUGGUUUACCGAUGGUCCGCUAUUUUUGUCCCAAUUGAAUCGGUGAAUGGGAUUGGGCUACCAGGCAUGCAAGGAGAACAAGAAGUUGACCAAGUCAUAUUUGACAAAACGAAUUUGCAGCUGCACUCUGGCCCCACUUGCUUUGAGUUGAUUGUUGACAACUCGGAGAUGUUGGAGAAUUACAGGCUUGCUUGAGGUUGUGCUGUUAUGUUGUCCAUACUUAGGCUUAAAAUGAGGUAGAUACGUACGACUGGGUUAACGACGAUGUGAUUGGCCUGAAUAGAAUUUCAAUUUAAUAUUCCAAUAUAAGUGUAUUGAAAGUUGCAUUGUUGACAGAGUCAUGAACACCAUUUAUUUAUUUAUUUUAUUUCUCUA